RNAcentral lists this transfer RNA (57 nucleotides) under Dictyocaulus viviparus (bovine lungworm). It matches the Rfam family "tRNA", at positions 8 to 63 of the family's 71-position model. From Rfam's summary of the family: Transfer RNA (tRNA) molecules are approximately 80 nucleotides in length. Their secondary structure includes four short double-helical elements and three loops (D, anti-codon, and T loops). The record is from Rfam by way of RNAcentral. Lineage: Eukaryota; Metazoa; Nematoda; Chromadorea; Rhabditida; Metastrongylidae.
UAGUGUAAUGGAAAGCACGGCAGACCGGAUAUCUGUAAGUGCGGGUUUGAGUCCCGC